Molecule: long non-coding RNA, 1289 nt
Organism: Carya illinoinensis
Lineage: Eukaryota; Viridiplantae; Streptophyta; Magnoliopsida; Fagales; Juglandaceae
Exons: 4
Source: RefSeq, a predicted model, not a curated record
UUUUAUGUCGCGGUAAUAAAUUGUGCUGCAAUAAGAUUUUUAUUGUGGCAGGAGAAUGCUAAAUUACGGCGACAUCUAUACUGCUGCAACAAGUCUUUUAAUCACUUAACUGGUGGGAAAACUCCUCACCUAAUCCUUUACCGAUAGUGAGACUCAGUUCUCUCCAUUGUCUCUCUGCUGUGUGCUGGUUGCGUACGCCGUCGAUUCAGCUACUGUGCCCUCUCGACGCCGGGUAUGGAAAUUGUGAGAAAACAGAUGGAAUUAGAAUGAUGCUUCAACCUGCUGGAAGGAGGGUUUGAAGGUUUGUAGUAACUGUUGACAUCCGGUUAGAAGAAACUCUCAUUGAGGAGACAAAUAAGGUGCAUCCUAAGGAAUUGAAUCCUUAUUUGAAAGAUAAUGGUAGUGGUUAUCCAAAAUAUAUGAAUGGGAGUAAAGAUAGUGAGAAUCAACUUUUAUCUUCUUCUAUUGUUGGAGAUGGAGCUGCAAGUUGGAAACCAAAAGCCUUGAAGCGUGCAGAAGAACAAGCAGGCCGAGAAGUGUGGGGGCUUGUGGAAAUGUCGAAGAAAGGUGGGCUUCUCUUGGUCAAUUGGAUGUUUCUGUAGCAUCUCAUUCAACUACCCCAUUUUCAAGCUCAUCUACGUCCAUAAAUGAUAAAAAGAGAGAGGAACAGCAAACAGGUUCAGACAAUCAAAAUGAGACAGUUACUAAUAAGUACCUUGCUACCUUGUGCUAUCUAGUGCAUUACUAUUUUUUUCUUUAAAUGCAUUUAUGUUAUAUUUAAGUUGAAAAUUAUUGUUAUUUGUUUCAAGGUGAAAAUAAUUAUCAAAUUUCUUUUACGGAUGUGUUACAUAUUUAUGUUUGUCAAGUGCAUGACAGGCAUGACUUGAAGGAUUUAUCUCUCUAGAAUCAUAAAAUGAGGGAGACUAAAGUUCAUGAUUCUUUAUCGUGGGGAAGGUGGAAGUAUGAAAGUGUAUUCUAAGGAUGUUGGUCUUAUAUCUUCUGCAGUAUCUAGCUUAAAUAGAUUUGCUUAUGAUGGAAGCUUCGUGCACAAUACUUUUCUACAAUAGAAUAAUGAUCCUGGUUGUUCUAUUGAGGGAAAUGUGGAGACGGAUUUAUCUUCAUCUCAAAUGAAGCAAUCUAAUGAAGGUAUUGGAGUGGCUAACUUUGCAUUGAUUGCAAACCAUUUGGUAACUAAUGCAAUUCAGGUUUGGGUAAGACAAUGUAGUUCACAUUAUAAACUUUUCUGCUCUCUUCUCACUAGUCAAUAUUUUUUCAUGAAAAAUGUGUAC